CGAUUAUGAGAUGACUGGUGCAUGUUGAGAUUUGUACCCGUAAUCUUCAUAGUCCGA
This 57-nucleotide microRNA precursor is filed under the name Heligmosomoides polygyrus. RNAcentral's name for it is "microRNA hpo-mir-54b precursor". Its record names the gene hpo-mir-54b. The record is from miRBase by way of RNAcentral. Lineage: Eukaryota; Metazoa; Nematoda; Chromadorea; Rhabditida; Heligmosomidae.